ACAUCUGUAGCUUGUUUUGCAAGUCUCCUGUGAAAUUCAAUAUCUUAAAUAUUGAGCGUGCAGGAGAUACUGCAUUACUAGAGGCUGGAAGACGUAAGAAGUACAAUUAAGGUAGUAGUAAAAUAUGUUGAUCUUAAUUGGACUAACAACAGCGAAGGCAUCUUACGAGUACAGAUCUGACAGUGAGAGAUGAAGGCUAGGGUCGCGAAAAGGAUUAGAUACCCUUGUAGUCCUAGCAGUAAACACUGCACACUAAACAUCAGUAUCUCCUCGAGAGACAUUGGUGCUGUAGGGAAGCCGUAGAGUGUGCUACCUGGGAAGUAUAGUCGCAAGACCGAAACUUAAAGGAAUUGGCGGGGGAGCACAAGCCGA
This 372-nucleotide ribosomal RNA is filed under the name uncultured euryarchaeote. Its description in RNAcentral is "bacterial SSU rRNA". It matches the Rfam family "Archaeal small subunit ribosomal RNA", at positions 515 to 889 of the family's 1478-position model. The record is from RNAcentral. Lineage: Archaea; Methanobacteriati; Methanobacteriota.